Molecule: long non-coding RNA, 1080 nt
Organism: Motacilla alba alba
Lineage: Eukaryota; Metazoa; Chordata; Aves; Passeriformes; Motacillidae
Exons: 2
Source: RefSeq, a predicted model, not a curated record
GCCUUGCCUCCACUGCACAGCCUACUGGCACAUGUUGGUGACCAUAUUUCAUGUCACAUUACACAAGGAGGAUAAUGUUUCCCAUGAACAAUUUAGGUGCCUUGCUAAAACCACCCAGCUGCUAGAGGUUUGCACUCCUCCAUCUCUGAGAUAAUGGAAGCAAUGGGCAAUACCUGGUCUCAUCUCCUUCCCUAUGACUGACUGCAGUAACACAUUCCCACUUUUUCAAAUACCACUACUCAGCACAAAUGGCUACUCAAGCUGUAUUUCCUUAAAAAGGUGGGAGUUGGGGAAGCAUUGGCUAUUUGGAGACUUGCAGGCAAAAUAUGUUUUUUUAAGAAAGAAGAUACCAACAGAUGGAUUUCAUGAAGGAAAAACACAGAGCAAAAUGCCAUAGCCAGUCCAAAUGGUUACAGCGAAGAAGAAAUGUGAAACUGAAACCCAACUUGUUAACUGUAUCUUGGCAGUGUGCAGUUGCAGGUAAUAGCUGUCUUUCCAGUCCAAAUUCAUGCACUUCCCAGCCCAUGAAAUGGAAAGUUGAGAACAUAAUCAUCCUGGCUGGCAGGCAGAGCUGGUGGACGGCAGCUUUGAGCUACUUGGAAACUACAAAAGAGACUCAGUCUUUAGAACAAGAAGGUGCUGGUCAGCCUCUUCCUUGGUGACCCUCCAAAGCACCUCAUAAAUGAGGAUGUUUCCUUUCACUCACUGUGCACAACAACAGAAGUGGUGGUAUGGCCUCAUCAACAACCAAGACAACAAAACAUCUUUUAAGUUGUUACUGUUUUAAGGACAAGGAGAAGGUGAUAACCCACAUCUACCUGCAGCACCAUGUAAGAGCACGGUGAGUGUUUCUUCCCCACUUGGAAAAAGUAGGUAGAUGUGGAGAAAGGUUCACAGAAGUUCUUACCCUCCAUUCUCCCCUGAAUUUUCUAGAAUUCAUGGCCGCUGGCUGAAGACAGUUUUGAGUUUUCACUUACCUGGCACAUGCAGGUGAGAAGUUGGUCUGCUAUAAAGUGAGAGAGUUAAAGGCAAGAAUGGACCACUAUAACCACCUUUUCUAAUCUGCAGUGCAUUUUAUUU